GGUAAUGUGGCUCAGUGGUACAGUACUUGCCUUGAACGCAAGAGGCCCUGGGUUCAAUCCCAGCAAUACCA
Molecule: non-coding RNA, 71 nt
Organism: Ictidomys tridecemlineatus (thirteen-lined ground squirrel)
Lineage: Eukaryota; Metazoa; Chordata; Mammalia; Rodentia; Sciuridae
Source: Rfam